GGGUCAUCAGGUCGGUCGUGCCACUGGUAUGAACUGGCCUCGCUGAUUCCUCCCUCUUGACGAACUGUGAUGCCAUUAAUUUGGUGUCGCAGGGAAUCAGGACUGUUACUUUGAAAAAAUUAGAGUGUUUAAAGCAGGCUUUCGCUUGAAUACAUUAGCAUGGAAUAAUGAAAUAGGACGUUUGAUUCUAUUUUGUUGGUUUCUAGGAUCGACGUA
RNAcentral lists this ribosomal RNA (216 nucleotides) under Campeiostachys nutans. RNAcentral's name for it is "Elymus nutans partial small subunit ribosomal RNA". The stretch from base 44 to 216 matches the Rfam family "Eukaryotic small subunit ribosomal RNA", at positions 690 to 864 of the family's 1831-position model. The record is from RNAcentral. Lineage: Eukaryota; Viridiplantae; Streptophyta; Magnoliopsida; Poales; Poaceae.